GAUGAACGCUGGCGGCGUGCCUAAUACAUGCAAGUCGAGCGAACAGACGAGGAUCUUGCUCCUCUGACGUUAGCGGCGGACGGGUGAGUAACACGUGGAUAACCUACCUAUAAGACUGGGAUCACUUCGGGAAACCGGAGCUAAUACCGGAUAAUAUAUUGAACCGCAUGGUUCAAUAGUGAAAGACGGUUUUGCUGUCACUUAUCGAUGGAUCCGCGCCGCAUUAGCUAGUUGGUAAGGUAACGGCUUACCAAGGCAACGAUGCGUAGCCGACCUGAGAGGGUGAUCGGCCACACUGGAGCUGAGACACGGUCCAGACUCCUACGGGAGGCAGCAGUAGGGAAUCUUCCGCAAUGGGCGAAAGCUUGACGGAGCAACGCCGCGUGAGUGAUGAAGGUCUUCGGAUCGUAAAACUCUGUCAUUAGGGAAGAACAAAUGUGUAAGUAACUAUGCACGUCUUGACGGUACCUAAUCAGAAAGCCACGGCUAACUACGUG
This 497-nucleotide ribosomal RNA is filed under the name uncultured bacterium. RNAcentral describes it as "partial 16S ribosomal RNA". It matches the Rfam family "Bacterial small subunit ribosomal RNA", at positions 28 to 507 of the family's 1533-position model. The record is from RNAcentral.